Strigops habroptila (Kakapo) is the source of this 3258-nucleotide long non-coding RNA. Lineage: Eukaryota; Metazoa; Chordata; Aves; Psittaciformes; Psittacidae. The record is from Ensembl.
CAGCACCAUCAGCACUAACGUGUAAGAGAAAUCAGCUGGGAUACCAAGCUGGUCCUGCUGUAACUUUAUAGCCACUAGGGGAAGUGUUCAGAGGAAAUCUUUGUCACUGGAGAAAAUUAUGGAAAAAGGAGUCUUGCUUGGAGAUAUCCCAGUCUCUCACUUUCAAGCUGGCUUCUGGUAUAGCUUUCUCCUCCUCCUUUCCUCUCCUUGAUAAAUGGGACUCAAAGAGUUAAUUGUGCUGAAAUAAACAUUAGCAUAAUGCCUAAGGAUACAAGUUUUUACCUGGCUAUGGAAUGUUGACAGCACAGAUGCUGAACCUAAACUGUAGAAUAACUCAUUAGGAAAUAUGCAAUAGCUAUGGCAAGAUUUACUACAAAUAUGCUUGAAGUGUUUUUAAAAAUUAAUAUUAUGCUGCUAUGCUUGGCUUAAUUAGCUUUCUUCUUCAUUUACAAACCAUAUCUGGCUGGUUUAUGAACUUAGUCUCUAUUCCCCAUUCUUGAAAACCUGUUUAAUUACAGUUUUAACUACUGCAUGAGCUUUAGAAACAGUAGAAUGACUUUUAUUGCUAGAAAUCUAAAUCCUUUUAAGUAUGAUCAUACCCACAUAUAAUGUACUGGAAAUAUGACAAGAUAUGCUCCAUAAUACCCCUGAAUAGACACAUGAUACUUCUACUUGUAAUUUUACAUGCCAUCCAUUUCCACUAUGUUGCAUAUAGGCAAUUUGGGGUUUUUUUUUUUUGCACAGAAAGUUGCACUAGCAGUGGAACUGUGAUUAAUCUAGCCAAUCACCAAGUCAGUCCCCUGAAAUCCAUUAAAGGUCACCUUUCUUUUUUUAGGCACAUACCCAUUUCUAAUUUGUUCAUUGAUUUCCUCAUCCAUUAUUCUAUCUUUUUUAGAGGUCCAUCACUUAUUAGACUCCCACUUCUACUAGCAGGGCAUUAUGCUUUGGUUUUCAAUUACAGCAAAUCCUACCACAGUCUUUUUCAGCAUUUAUCACUUGCUCCCUUUCAUGCUAUAAUAAAUGAUUAAAUACUAAUUUAUUAUUGCUAUAUAUACAAAAUUGAAAGAUGGUCAUUAGAAAUGCUAUCUGGGAUAUACCUGAAAUUCUAGAAAUACAUGGCAUACAGUUUAUCAUAAUGUAUUUUUGGCUGCAUAUUAAAAAGCUUGUGGCAUAAUGGUCAGCAAGCAGAAAUUAUCUGUGCAGUCACUGCCAACAGACUCCAGUAAAACAGAAAAUAUUUUUUGGCUCCCCUAUGCUGAAGACCCUGCUUAAUGACUUGUUACCCAUUAUACCCAAAAUACAGUACAGUUUCAUCACACAAUUUACUCCACAGAAGCAGGAUGUCAACAAUAGUCAGUUCUAUAAUAAUGAAAAAAGAUAAUAGUCAUUUCCCCCCCUAUUCUCAUUUGAAUCUCAUAACCACUAGGGUGAUCAAUUUCAAAACCUUAUUAGUUCUGCUACUAUGAACUAUUCAAGUCCACAUUUCAAGAUCAGUUUGCAGUGAAAAACUAUGGAGGCAAUCUUUUUAAAUGGACAAUUUACAAUUAAUAUUUCUGCCAACAUAUAUUUGCAAGCUUUACAUAAUAGCAAACACAAUAAUUUCAAAAUUUUCAAAUUAAAACAUAGGCAAAUACUGUGUAUGGCUGACAAAUAGUGCUAUAAAAUGUGCACUGGCACUAAAUCUUUGUCAGGCUGUAAAUCUAGUGAAGAAAAGCAAACAAAUAGGAAACUUUACAGUAUUUUUCUAACUAAAAAUAAAAAAAGAUAAAACGUUAUCAGUUCAUUCUGUAUAGAAUUCUGUAUUCAUUACUCCACUCAAUGGAAGAAUAUGAAGCAUGUAAAAUUAUAAAUCUUUCAAGAGUUGACUUUUUUUUUUUAUUCUUUACAUAUGCUCCUAUUCCAAAAUAUGUUUUAUCCAGUUUUUAAUUUAGGUUAAAUUGGCCUAUUUCCCUUAACGUUAACAGAGCUAAGAUGGUUCAUACCAGCUGCUCCUCUGAGAGUAUGUUCAGAGGAUCAUAAAUGAUAGUGUCAGUGCAUUUUAAGAAGUUACUGUGCUUCAGCUGGAGUUGAUCAGCAGACACGUGGUCCCUGUCAGCUCAUUACAAUGCCAAGUACAUGGUGUUCACUUAAGCUGCCUUCAGCAGUUCCAAAAGGGAGCCCAGGUAAAAGCAUUGGAAAGACGAGCAUUUAGGAAGAACUUGCUUCACAGGCAAGCUAUGACUUUUUGUUUAUUGUCAAAACUGAUGCAACUGCUGUUGUUUCCCUACACAUGAGUUGAGAUAGAAAUAAAUCUUUGUUAGACUGGAGUAGCAUCAUGCACGUGGUCAGCUUAAAUAAAUCACAUCAAGGAGCAGUAUCUCAGUAUCUCAGGUUUUGAGGGAUGGAAGGAAGGAGGGAAGUGUGUGUGAAUGUAGAAAUGGAACAGGAGCAGAGAAAAACAAUAUCUUUUAAAAACCACUAAGUCAGUCACUUUCAGUUACCUGACCAUUACUUGAUUUGAAACCAACAGAAUUCUACUUAAUUCUUCCUUCAAAGCAGGCAAAGGAAUUCAGACCAAAAAAAAAAAAAAAAAAAAAAAUCAUCAUUUGGGACUUUGAAGCCAGAAUAAUGAUGCAAAUAACAAAACUACUCCAUAUUGAGUCGAGUUUGCAAGAUAGUUUUCUAUUCGUUAAUGGUAGGUGAAUACAACUCUUUCACAUGCCACUGGCUGAGUUCAGCACCCUAAAUGUAUUAAAGUAAGAUAGAGAGAGGACUUUCGCACUGCUGUAAAAUAAAAGAAGCAGUAAGAUUUAUUUACAUUAUUUAGAGUAGACCCUUCCAUUUCAGCAUGUUUUCCUUCAAUUGCAAACAUAAAAAUAUCCCUGAUCCCAAUACUGCUCAAGCAUCAAUAGAAAUUGUCCUUUCAAUAUAUAGGAGGAAAGUGCAUGAAUUACCUAGAAAAAUCUGCUGCUGACAAAUACAUGAAUUUAUUGUCCAUUUUCUAGGAUGAAGAACCCAGGGAGUUCAGUUAAUGGCUGUUCUGCAAACCUCUUAUAGGAGCAUAAGCCUACAACGUCUUUCACCCUGACUUCCUCUUCUAUAAAAUGAGUUUAAUACUAUUUCCUUCCUCCUAGCCUCACUUUGCUCUUGUCACACUGAGUUUUUAAUGUAAUACAUUUAGAGGAGCACCAGAGUUAAAAUGGAGCUCAACUACUUCUGUCUACAAACUUCUUAACAAACAUCUAAAUGUUGAGAAGGUGAAGUCCUAAAAUUGCUCAG